AUGUUACAUGGGAAGUAGGUGAUGACAUAAGUAACCGGCUUUAAUAAGCACGAGACCUCGUAGUGUGUGGGAAGGGAGAUCAUUUUCUCGCGUAAAUCCUUGAUUUGAAGAUGAAUUCAGCGCUAAGGAAAGUUGGGUCUCUUUUGAUCCGUCCAAGUGCCACUGUACAGAAGAGAAUGUGGAAUGAUAUGGCUGGUCCGCCAAAAAGAACAGUUUCAAAAUGGACUGUAAUAUGGUCAUCAGUGUUAAUCAACGUCAUCAUCUUCGGAUCCCAUUCGUACUAUUAUUAUUGGAUUACCAAAACAUAUGGGAAAACGUCGCCGCACAAAUUGGCUAAGCUUAAGCGCGCCGCAAAGAACUUAGGCGACAAGAACGCCCUCAAGUCUUAAUCAAGUAAAGAGGAAUAGCUCAGAAUGCUAAAAUUGAUGGCGUUUUAUGAUUGCUGUUUUUAUUUAUUGAUUUGUUUAUGCCAGUUUCUUUUUAUAUAUGGUACAGUUGAAAGUUCAAAAUUGCACAAUUUUUGUUCGACUUUGGUUGAUUUAUGCUUGACUGCUGAAACGUUUACUUCAGUGAGCAGAGUUGAUGUUCAAAGUUGUACUGUGUGAAGAUCAGAACGAUUUAACGAACGCACAAAUUUCGGCAUUGACUAUAGACGUUACCCGUCCAGAUGCACAACUUGGCAAUACGCAUGCAGCUCUGAAGAUAAACUUUCUCUUCCAACUGGAUUAUUUUUACUCCGUGUGUUGCUCUGGAUUAUCCACCAGUGUGAAAUUAUUUGUCUUAAAGAUGGAAAAAGAACAGAACUACAUGAGGAAAUUUAAGCUACCGAACUUUUUAGUCUCUAUACCAGCCUGCUACGAAUAGAUCUGAAACGAGUCGAGAACUCUCAGGAAAUACUGUGCCAGUAUUUAUUCCUAAGCACAACAUUUUGUCGAUACUCUCAUUCAUUUUUAAGUUACCUCGACUCACUAUACUUGUCUUUCUGAUAAAUGUAUUAAUAAUGUUGUCUGUCAG
Long non-coding RNA from Lingula anatina, 1014 nucleotides. RefSeq lists it as uncharacterized. The record is from RefSeq and is a predicted model, not a curated record. Lineage: Eukaryota; Metazoa; Brachiopoda; Lingulata; Lingulida; Lingulidae.